RNAcentral lists this transfer RNA (74 nucleotides) under Candidatus Woesearchaeota archaeon. Its description in RNAcentral is "tRNA-Arg". It matches the Rfam family "tRNA". Rfam says of the family: Transfer RNA (tRNA) molecules are approximately 80 nucleotides in length. Their secondary structure includes four short double-helical elements and three loops (D, anti-codon, and T loops). The record is from RNAcentral. Lineage: Archaea; Nanobdellati; Candidatus Woesearchaeota.
GCCCGAGUAGUAUAGUCUGGAUAGUACGCACGGUUGCGGUCCGUGUAACCGGGGUUCGAAUCCUCGCUCGGGCA